Molecule: long non-coding RNA, 742 nt
Filed under: Anas platyrhynchos (mallard)
Lineage: Eukaryota; Metazoa; Chordata; Aves; Anseriformes; Anatidae
Description: lncRNA (ENSAPLG00020012111.1)
Source: RNAcentral
AUGCGUAAAGGCUACGCUGCCCUCGAUAGCUAUGUUUCAGUGAUUAAACCACAAACAAGAUUUCCUCAAAGCUCUACAAGUGUUUCCCUAUGCAUUUCAAGGAAGCAGAAUUUAAUUCUGUUCCUGAAGUGGAUGUUUACUGCACAGGAUUUCUUUGUUGGAUUUCAACUGUGUUUUAUUUGCCACAGAGAUCUGACCUCAAAAAUUAGACAUAGUGCAAAUAUUAAGGAGAAGGAAAAAAAAACUCUGCAAACUCCUCCUUUCAAGAAAAGCACAACCAUGGCUGGCACACAAAGCUAACAAAAAUCAGAUGAGACUUUCUUCCUUUUCAUUAAUAUCUGCAGGCUACAUGAAGAAAACCAAAAGAAACCCAAACCCUUUUGAUCCGGGUAGCUAAAAUGCUUUCAAACUUAAAUGCACUAGCAACAUCAGUACGAUCAACCAUCUCCACCAGCUCUCAGGAGAAUGAGUGUCCUCCCUCUCUGGAGUUCCAACUCACAACCUGCAGCAAAUGCAGGUGAUAUGUGAGCACAGCAGAGUCUGUCCCUUCUGCUCUAACCUGAGUUCCCUGCCACAGCUGUAGGACCAAGCACUUGGAACACAGAACAAGCAUUUCAAUUUAAAUCUACCAGAGAUGACAACAAAGUUCUUUGAUUACAAACUUCUUUGGGGCAAAGAAACCCAUUUUAUUUUGGACAGAGAUACCCAUUCUAUUUGCAAAGUUGUAAGUACAAUAGGCUCU